This 497-nucleotide ribosomal RNA is filed under the name uncultured bacterium. RNAcentral describes it as "partial 16S ribosomal RNA". It matches the Rfam family "Bacterial small subunit ribosomal RNA", at positions 28 to 507 of the family's 1533-position model. The record is from RNAcentral.
GAUGAACGCUGGCGGCGUGCCUAAUACAUGCAAGUCGAGCGAACAGACGGGGAGCUUGCUCCUCUGACGUUAGCGGCGGACGGGUGAGUAACACGUGGAUAACCUACCUAUAAGACUGGGAUAACUUCGGGAAACCGGAGCUAAUACCGGAUAAUAUAUUGAACCGCAUGGUUCAAUAGUGAAAGACGGUUUUGCUGUCACUUAUAGAUGGAUCCGCGCCGCAUUAGCUAGUUGGUAAGGUAACGGCUUACCAAGGCAACGAUGCGUAGCCGACCUGAGAGGGUGAUCGGCCACACUGGAACUGAGACACGGUCUAGACUCCUACGGGAGGCAGCAGUAGGGAAUCUUCCGCAAUGGGCGAAAGCCUGACGGAGCAACGCCGCGUGAGUGAUGAAGGUCUUCGGAUCGUAAAACUCUGUUAUUAGGGAAGAACAAAUGUGUAAGUAACUAUGCACGUCUUGACGGUACCUAAUCAGAAAGCCACGGCUAACUACGUG